GUUUUUGUAGUUGAAAACAACGCUGGUUUUUCAAGCCAGAAGUCUUGGUUAAAAUCCAGGUAGAAACU
Molecule: transfer RNA, 68 nt
Filed under: Hemirhamphodon pogonognathus
Lineage: Eukaryota; Metazoa; Chordata; Actinopteri; Beloniformes; Zenarchopteridae
Description: tRNA-Glu
Rfam family: tRNA
About the family: Transfer RNA (tRNA) molecules are approximately 80 nucleotides in length. Their secondary structure includes four short double-helical elements and three loops (D, anti-codon, and T loops).
Source: RNAcentral